Molecule: ribosomal RNA, 253 nt
Filed under: uncultured bacterium
Lineage: Bacteria
Description: partial 16S ribosomal RNA
Rfam family: Bacterial small subunit ribosomal RNA
Source: RNAcentral
UACAGAGGUCUCAAGCGUUGUUCGGAUUCAUUGGGCGUAAAGGGUGCGUAGGUGGCGCUGUAAGUCAGGUGUGAAAUUUCGGAGCUUAACUCCGAAACUGCAUUUGAUACUGCGGUGCUCGAGGACUGGAGAGGAGACUGGAAUUUACGGUGUAGCAGUGAAAUGCGUAGAGAUCGUAAGGAAGACCAGUGGCGAAGGCGGGUCUCUGGGCAGUAACUGACGCUGAGGAGCGAAAGCGUGGGGAGCAAACAGG